RNAcentral lists this long non-coding RNA (1012 nucleotides) under Anser brachyrhynchus (Pink-footed goose). Its description in RNAcentral is "lncRNA (ENSABRG00000017485.1)". Lineage: Eukaryota; Metazoa; Chordata; Aves; Anseriformes; Anatidae. The record is from RNAcentral.
AAGAAAGCCAAACAUGUUCUGCUUUGGGGCUUCUGCCUAUUAUAUUCUAGGUUCAUGGAGACUUAAAAAUUUAAUGGGGGGCGGGGGGGAGAGGAACUAUUAAAUCUCACUGGUUCUUUAAAGCAUAGGUAAUUAGCUGUGUCUGAAACAAAAUUCUCAGUAAGCCGUGCUGGGCUUCUGGGGAAAACAAGCAUAUUCCCCUCAGAUGUUUGACCAGCAGGUUUUGCCACAGACUCAUCAUCCCAGUAAUCAGCAGAAACAUGGUGUCUCUCAAAGCAGAACCUGCAGUUGUGCAGAUGAGUUACAUCAGUGAAGGUGAUUCUCGGAGGAGGUAUUUGAUUUCCACAUCCCGCUUGGACGUUGAUGGGGGCCAAGAGGACUGAUAUACUGGGAAACUGGCUGCAUGCUGACAGAGGCUGGCUGUUUAUGAGGUGUGACAUGGGCCACAGAGGAAGGAUGAAACUGGAAGGAAACGAGCUUGGACGCUCUGUGGGACGCCUGUCCCAGGACUGGGGUCUGUCCCUGGCAGAGAAGCGUUUCCGUGGAUGGGCUCUGUGCCUGUGGGGGUUCCUGGCUGCUGUGCUGGGGUGCACUCACCACUGCCUUCAACCGCAGGGCCCCAAUGAAAGCGCAAACCUCUUGUGUUGCGCUGCAGUGGGGUUGCAGUCGCCGAUGGCAGCGUGAGAGCGGGCCGCCUGCCAUGAGCCCCGCACCAGUGAGCAGGGGGCCUGGGCAGGGGGCUCUCCCUAGGGUCUCGCAGCUCCUCGUCCGGCGCUGGCCUGGGGAGCCCCACGAGCACCCAGGGGGCUGCCUGGUAGCAGCAGCGUGGCUUCGGGGCCCUUCUGCCUGCAUUGGACCCACUGCAGGGAAAGAAGCCAUGAUGUGAGAUGUUGGCAAACAAGUUAUCCGAAAAGAAACAUUUGUCAGUUUGAGUCAGAGCCCUGUUUGCUUCAGUGUCAAACCAGAAAAUAACUGGAAUCAGGUUGAGACUUUUUUUGUUAUUGAAAUAAAA